This 253-nucleotide ribosomal RNA is filed under the name uncultured bacterium. RNAcentral describes it as "partial 16S ribosomal RNA". It matches the Rfam family "Bacterial small subunit ribosomal RNA", at positions 524 to 776 of the family's 1533-position model. The record is from RNAcentral.
GACAGAGGGUGCAAACGUUGUUCGGAAUUACUGGGCGUAAAGCGCGUGUAGGCGGCCCUGCAAGUCGGAUGUGAAAUCCCACGGCUCAACCGUGGAAGUGCAUUCGAAACUGCAGGGCUAGAGUCCUGGAGAGGUAGGUGGAAUGCUUGGUGUAGAGGUGAAAUUCGUAGAUAUCAAGCGGAACACCGGUGGCGAAGGCGGCCUUCUGGACAGUGACUGACGCUGAGACGCGAAAGCGUGGGGAGCAAACAGG